UUUGUGCAAGACAUAUUACAUUUGUUGACUGAUAAGAAUAUCUGAUUUGCAGAGUGCUUCCUAAGGGGGUCCUGCUCCCUCCUGACAUCCUGUGUUCCCCUUUUUGUUCCCUAUCUAAAUGUUUCAGGAUUAGCAGACUAUUGCAUCAUCCACAUUUGUCAUCUGUUUCUUACCCUUAAGAAGCUUAAAGAAUUGUCCUUGCUAAAUACAAAUUCUCACAAACAUGAAAUGAGUGAUUGGUAUGAAUUGAUCUAAGCAGUUUCACUAUAUUUUAGGAACAUCUAUAUGGGCCAGUGUUUCAGGAUUCCUGAGACUUGGUGACUCAAAAUAUCCAUUAUCCAAAAGAAGGCUAUGAAUUUACAAGGAAGAAUUAAACCAGUCAGGGAAGAUUCUGGCUGAUGGCCACGUGGACCAUUAAUGAGUGAAUGGGCUCUGCUGAGAAGGCUUGUCCUCACACCAUGACAGCUGAUGAGUCAGAAGCUGGAGAGUUAACUCUGGAGCCCUUGCUCACCUGCAAGCUAUGUCUCUGUGAAUAUUCCCUGGAUAAGAUGACCACUCUUCAGGAAUGCAGCUGCAUCUUUUGUACAUCGUGCCUAAAACAGUACAUGCAGCUGGCAAUUCAAGAAGGUUGUGGUUCUCCUAUCACGUGUCCAGACAUGGUAUGCUUGAGCCAUGGGACCCUACAAGAAGCAGAGAUUGCCUGUUUGGUGCCUGUUGACCAGUUUCAGUUAUACAAGAGGCUGAAGUUUGAACGAGAAGUCCACUUGGACCCCCAGAGAACAUGGUGCCCUGCAGUUGACUGCCAAGCAGUGUGCCAUAUUACACCGAGUGAGUCCGGAGCUCCGGUGCCAGUGGAGUGCCCGGCUUGCUGCCAGACAUUCUGCUCCUCUUGCAAGGAGGCAUGGCACCUGAAGCACCUAUGCCAGGAAAACCAAACUGCUCCAGUACCAACUGAGCAGGGGUUACUUAUUGGAACGGAGACAGACGCACCAAUUAAGCAGUGCCCAGUCUGUCGCAUCUAUAUUGAACGAAACGAGGGCUGUGCUCAGAUGAUGUGCAAGAACUGCAAGCACACAUUUUGCUGGUACUGUCUACAAAACUUGGAUAAUGAUAUCUUCUUAAGACAUUACGACAGAGGCCCUUGCAGAAACAAGUUGGGCCACUCGCGUGCUUCGGUGAUGUGGAACAGAACACAGGUUGUGGGGAUCCUCGUUGGACUAGGUAUCAUAGCAUUGGUGACUUCUCCCUUGCUGCUUGUGGCAUCUCCAUGCAUCAUCUGCUGCAUUUGCAAAUCUUGCAGAAGUAAAAAGAAAAAACACAGCCCGCCAACAACCUAAAACUCUGUGUCUGAGCCUCCAUUUGUACAGCAUAUGUAUGUGAGAAAGCACAAUGGUUGCAUUUGGUGCCAUACCUACCAAAUAGUACUCCCUUUUUUGCCAAUUCUUGGGAUAAGUGCCUAUUCUUUACAGGCUACUCUAUCACUAACAAGUCCCAGUGUGGGAAAAGUCUAGAUAAUUGUGCAGUACAUAUGUAUAAGUUUUAUAAAAGGAAAAUGGGACACCGUUCAGCUUAAAUAUGAGCUGUCUUUUGAGACUGCUAGAACUUCAUCAUCUUCUGUCAGCUGCACAUGACUUGAUCCUGCAGUAUUAUUCUGCAUUUGCAGACCCAGUCCUUAACUGUCAUGCUUUCUAUUGGCUCUUGGUGACACACAGAUUUCUCAGAAAGUUUUCGUAUUUUAUAAAAGGGGGAGAGGGAAAAGCCUGAAGAAGCUCUUCUGCCUGCUAGCUUGUGUCCCCUUAAAGGUAACAAACUGUUAAGAAAACAUAUUUGACAGUUUCCUGUCAGCUGGCUGCCAUGGCAUUUCUUUCAGCAUUGAAAUCAAUUUAACUAACUUAUACUAUUGGUCUCAAUUACAGAGGUAAAACCCAACAAAACUAUUUCUAAGGUAGGGCUCUCUUCUGAGAGACUGGACUACCUUGAGAAAGCUGUUGUUUUUUCAGCUCAAACAUGACGUCUACCUUGAAAUAUUAGAAGUAUGUGUAUUUCCCCGUCAUUGGGCAUGGCUUUUGUCAGUAACAUGGGUGUAGUAAACUUACCAUGACACUAAUACUAAGAAAGGCCAUGAUACAGCUCCUGUUUUAUGUGCAGUUUUCAAAUAUUGGUUGUGCAUAUAUAGAGUGGCCACAUGUGCAUGAAUAUACCGAGGACAUAAUGCACAGUUUAUUUUCCAGUCAGUCAGUAUAUUUUUUCAACAGUUUACAUGGGGUGGCAUUAAGAACCCUGUUAAAAACUGAUUCAGGCCAAACUAAGCCAAACUCUCCUUUAAACCUUAUGGACCUGCUGAAGUGAAUACUUGGGAAAUGCUGUGUAAAUGUAAGAUCUGUCCAUUGGUGGGUAUUUCUUCUGUCCGACUCGAGGUUAACAACUUCUGUGACUGAUAAUUUUUAGUUACUUUAAAUCUGAAAGGCUGUCAUUUAAUGAACCCUUCAUUUUAAUUUGAUGCCUCACUACCAAACUGAUUCAGACCCUGGUAUCAAUUACACCUGUUCACUGAAGAGCUGGAGUUACUCCAGGCUCUGCUUCCUGGAGUUUAUUUCCUUAAUGGCUGGUACUUCUCACAACCCUGGCCGGUGGUAGCUUUUGUUUUGGACUCCUAUCUUUGGAUUUUAUAUCUGUGAGAACUAAUAUGAGUUUGCACUAUAUAAUCUGUUGUAAUUCCAAACCCCUUUCGAUAAGAGAUGCUCAGCCCGAGCAUCAUCUUGGGCUCACCCUCCACCGAUCUGCCCUCCUCCACACACACAGCAUGAGGCACCCGAAGAGUGCUGCGAGGAGUGUCUUUGCUGUUGUGUUUGGCCGAGCCUCAGGAACUUUGCCUUAUUGGCAGCUGUAAAUGUGACCUUUUUUGUUUAACUUCGCUCUCUGGUUACUGUAACAGAAGUGAUAGAUGUUCUUACUUUAAGAAAGUAUAGUCUGUUGAGCAGACUAGCAGGGAAAAAGGCCUUAAAUGAUAUUGUCUGUUUUACUUUUUAAUUGAUUUCUUUUAUAAAUACUGUCUGACUUUGCUACCAGUCAUGACUGGAGGGCAGGUGGUGCUCGCCAGUGUGAAAGGCUAAAUUUAUUUUCAUCCACAGCUGCAAAGGGAAGCAGAAAGGUAGUCAGUACAUUCUAAAUACAGAGUGCAAUGCAGGUAACUGCCAUUUGUAAUAAACAGAGAAUGUUUUCUGUAUGUAUUUUCUUUAAGAGCGGUAAUGAUAGUGCUUGGGGGUACUUGCAACAGAUUAAAGCAUCCAGCCCUUGGCUUUGCACUAUUUUUAUACCUACAUUUUUAUGGCACUACUGUCCUUGCCAUUUUAUUUAUGAACUUGCAGUUGGAAGUCUUUAGUGAAGCCUCGAGGACAAAGAUACGGGAGCUGUACAGUCUCUUUAACCAUAACCAGCAUUGCAAUGUACCAAUAUCCUUUGCAUGUUAAAAUUUGUAGGUUUUUCAUAUCUUGUGGUUUUACCUAUGUCCAAUGCACUCUCUGCUAGCCUGGUUUAUUUCCUUGUCCUCUUCCUCUUUCCCUUAUCCUUUUUUUGCUAAAAUGCCUAAGGGAAUGAAGGUGUCUCUCAUGUUUUUUUCGUUAAUACUGCUGUGUUAAUGAAACUGCCAAGUUCUUCCCUCUGUUAAAGAAAUACAGCUGAAGGCAGUUGUCUUGUCCAGAAUACACUAACGGACACAAGGUCACCAUUUGUAUUGUAAUACAAAUUCGACCCUUUUCAGUUCCUUAAAUGAUUUCUUAAAGUUAAUGCAGAUCUCUCCAAAGAGUGGGAAUUUGUUUAAAUUAUAAAAUUUUAUAAAAGCAUUGCAUACGUGCAUAGCUGUAAAUCUUGGGAGAACGACACUAUUCAGUUUAUUUUUAACUCCUCAGUUUGAGUGCAGGGUAAGUCAUUCCAGAGACUAAUUCCUACAGAGCAGAAGGACGGUGUGUCUUUUCCAUGUGCACAUUUUAUUGCUGGUGCCAGUUUAGGUGCCAGGUGGGGGUACCAAAAGUGGUAGAAACUUAGUGUGCAGGUUUUAGGACAACCUGAAAACCAGGACGCCCGUCCAGGCAUCUAAGGAACUUGUAUGCAGAUCGGUAGCAUUGGACCAGGUUUCCGUUGGGGGUCUUUACGUAAAAGCUGGAUAAGGAGAGCAUGAGCUACAGGCACACCUUCCUUUGCCAUAUAGAUACAAUAGAUUGACCAAGACAGAAGCUCGAGUAAUAUGUUAGAACUCAAAAUAGAAGUCUUAUGAAGAUUAUUUUCUUUUAAAGGCUGUGUCCUGGCUUUUCAUUGCAUGGGAAUACUUGAGCAUGUGCAUUAAGUAGACUCUGACCUGGCCAGCUUAUGCGGCCAUGCUAACUCUGCCAAGUAGAGUUGUACUUGUGCUGCAGUGCUGAGAGCAGUAAGGCCCUGUUGUUUUCCAUAAAGCAGCUAUUUUGCACCAAAUGGUCACGCUCACAGAGUUUCCAGAGAACCAUUUUAGCGAGAACCUUUAUAUGGUGUUGGGAUUUGGUUUUGUUUUGUGGGUUUUUUUUAAGCUUUAUAAGAAAAAUUAAAGGAACUUUAUGAAAGAUUUAUUGGAAGCAUGACAAAUAAUACAGAAAUUAGGGAGAAAGAAACAAAACUGGGACCCUGAUUACUCGUGACUCUUCUAAAUCAGUGUAGACAUAAAUCUACCCUCUAGAACUCCAUCUGUGUGAUGUUCAUGUUAGUACCAGGCUUCACUGCUUUUACCAUCUCUCUCCUUUCCCCUGUGGCAGGUGGCUGGUGUGCAGGUAGCAGCCAGGGGAUAGCUCAGAGCUGUGGCAGGGCAGGGUGCUGCUCAGGAGCUGGGGUCUAUUAACACACUGCCCACCCUGGCUCCAUCACCAAUUUUCCCUGGGGCCUUUAACCACUGAGAGAGACUUUGGGGAUUUUAGGCCGGUUACAUUACCUGAGUCCACAAAUGUCUGUCUCCCUUGGAGAACAAAAGUGACAACUACAGUAUUCCCUCUGAACCAGGGGCAUUCAGCCCUUCUGAAAACUGGGCUCUAGAUAUUUAAAGGUCAGAUUGUAAAACUAGAGACCAGUGCUGGAAAUCUGGAUUUUUACGGCAGUUGGCUAGACAUCUCCGUGGUCACAUAUCUCAUUGUAAUUUCCCAGCAGUUGCUGGAGCUGUGUCAAAUACAGCUGAGGAUCCAACUUGGCAUCUUAUGUCCUUGUGUUAAAAUGAGGAUGAUAAUACCUGUUUCCAGAACCACCUGUUAAUAAAAAGAAAAUAUUUGUCAUGCUGUAGCAUAAGUACUACCCCGCAGUAUUUAUUCUAGAACUAUAGGAAAUGGUCAAUGCUGCCUUUCAGUAAUUCAUGAUUUAUUAAUCGUGCAUGGUGUUACUUACCCCAAACAAGGGCAUGAGGGGAACGGUAAUUAAUGUUUUUACGGUGCUUUAAUGUUGCUAAAUGCUACUUACUGUUGUCUGUCCAGUACAUAGCAUGAAGUCCAAAGUUAAGUUUAAAAUGUACGUAAGUUUUACUUGAAUGAACUAUGAGAAAAUGAAUAUUGCCUUCAUAUUUGCUUGAAAAUACACAAGUGGAGAGAUAUCAACUGCAUUUCCACAAUGGGACAACAAAAUCAAGUUUUGGCUGCUUUGUUCUCUGGUAUCACAGUGAGUGGUUGUGUUGUAGUGCGCCUGCCGCUUUAAAACUUUGAAAUCUAUUUUGCACUGUAAUCUCUUUCUUGCAGCCACUCUCAUCUUUCUCAAAAAAGUUCCUUUUAAGAUCGUAUUUUUCAUCCUCUAUCUCAGGUUAGAGAAUCUUAGUAGAUUUCUUUGUAUGAGGAUAAAAACCUUCCACACAGUUUUCUCACA
RNA transcript from Athene cunicularia (burrowing owl), 5865 nucleotides. It is a transcript of the gene named ring finger protein 144B, with no coding region annotated. Lineage: Eukaryota; Metazoa; Chordata; Aves; Strigiformes; Strigidae. The record is from RefSeq and is a predicted model, not a curated record. The transcript has 10 exons.